This 401-nucleotide unclassified non-coding RNA is filed under the name Viminaria juncea. RNAcentral's name for it is "partial miscellaneous RNA". Lineage: Eukaryota; Viridiplantae; Streptophyta; Magnoliopsida; Fabales; Fabaceae. The record is from RNAcentral.
UCUAUAAAAUGGAUAAGAUUUUUGUCGUAAAGUUAAAGUAUACGAGUUAAAGUAAAAGAGCAAUAUCAACAGAGUUGAUAUUGCUCUUUUACUUUUUUUAUUUAACAGUUUUUUUUUAUAUACAUAUAUAUAUUGUGGAUUUGCUUCAACAUGUUUUAGUAUUCUUUAUUUCAAGAUACGAUAAAAGAUUUUAAAAAAUACGAUAAUACAUUUCAAAAAUUGAAGUUUCAUUUUUUUUUUUGAAUUUAUAUCUUUUUCUCAUCUAUUUUUUGAUCUUUUUGUGAUACCUAUGACCUUACAAUGGAAAAAUGUUUUCCUUUUUUCUUAUAGUCUUUAAGAAUAUUUAGAAGACUUCUAAAAACGUAGAAGAUGAAGAAAACAGACUGAGAAUAAUGAAAGAC